Triticum aestivum (bread wheat) is the source of this 125-nucleotide non-coding RNA. Lineage: Eukaryota; Viridiplantae; Streptophyta; Magnoliopsida; Poales; Poaceae. The record is from Rfam.
AUAGUACUCCCUCCGUCCGGAAAUACUUGUCCGAGAAAUGAAUGUAUCUAGACGUAUUUUUGUUUUAGGUACAUUCAUUUUUAUCCAUUUCUCCGACAAGUAUUUCCAAACGGAGGGAGUAGUAG